RNAcentral lists this ribosomal RNA (255 nucleotides) under uncultured bacterium. Its description in RNAcentral is "partial 16S ribosomal RNA". It matches the Rfam family "Bacterial small subunit ribosomal RNA", at positions 524 to 776 of the family's 1533-position model. The record is from RNAcentral.
UACAGAGGUCCCGAGCGUUGUUCGGAUUCACUGGGCGUAAAGGGUGCGUAGGUGGUGAGGUAAGUCGGAUGUGAAAUCUCCGGGCUCAACCCGGAAAUGGCAUUGGAAACUACCUUGCUGGAGGAUUUGAGGGGGGGAUUGGAAUACUUGGUGUAGCAGUGAAAUGCGUAGAUAUCAAGUGGAACACCAGUGGCGAAGGCGAAUCCCUGGAAAAUACCUGACACUGAGGCACGAAAGCUAGGGGGAGCAAACAGG